CUUGGUCAUUUAGAGGAAGUAAAAGUCGUAACAAGGUUUCCGUGGGUGAACCUGCGGAAGGAUCAUUCAUAAUAAGUGUUUUAUGGCACUUUUUAAAUCCAUAUCCACCUUGUGUGCAAUGUCAGUCGAUCUUCUUCAUGGAGAUCGGCCAAACAUCAACCUUAUUUUUUAACUCUUUGUCUGAAAAAUAUUAUGAAUAAACAAUUCAAAAUACAACUUUCAACAACGGAUCUCUUGGCUCUCGCAUCGAUGAAGAACGCAGCGAAAUGCGAUACGUAAUGUGAAUUGCAGAAUUCAGUGAAUCAUCGAAUCUUUGAACGCAUAUUGCGCUCUUUGGUAUUCCGAAGAGCAUGCUUGUUUGAGUAUCAGUAAACACCUCAAAGCUUUUGGAUUUUUUUUGAAAGCUUUGGACUUGAGCAAUCCCAACGCCAAUCUUUUUCAGAUCGGCGGCGGGCUGCUUGAAAUGCAGGUGCAGCUGGACUUUCUCCUGAGCUAAAAGCAUAUUCAUUUAGUCCCGUCAAACGGAUUAUUACUUUUGCUGCAGCUAACAUAAAGGGAGUUUGACCGUAUUGGCUGACUGAUGCAGGAUUUUACAAGGGUCGGCAACGAUUCUUGUUAAACUCGAUCUCAAAUCAAGUAAGACUACCCGCUGAACUUAAGCAUAUCAAUAAGCGGAGGA
Molecule: ribosomal RNA, 679 nt
Filed under: uncultured fungus
Lineage: Eukaryota; Fungi
Description: eukaryotic LSU rRNA
Rfam family: 5.8S ribosomal RNA (bases 215-368)
Source: RNAcentral